Chinchilla lanigera (long-tailed chinchilla) is the source of this 2295-nucleotide long non-coding RNA. Ensembl lists it as uncharacterized. NCBI's taxonomy places the organism in Eukaryota, Metazoa, Chordata, Mammalia, Rodentia, Chinchillidae. The record is from Ensembl.
AUGCCCCAGGUUGAUUUUAAACUUGUGAUCCUCCUGCCUCAGCCUCCAAAAGUGCUCGGAUUAUGGGUGUGCACUACCACCACUCCUGCUCUCCUUCUUGCCUGCCUCCUUUUCCCACCCCCUGAGGUAGACGCCCUGGGCAGUGAGCAGCACGACUUCUGUGUCAUCCCCAGCCCUCUUCUCCGGGACUCCGUGGUUCCAUGGCCAGGAACCACGGGGCAGCAAAGGGCGAAGGCUGGACCCCAGCAGCUUGUCCCACAUGCUUUGGUGAGCACACCAUGGACACCAAGGCUAGCGACGAGAGCCCUGCGCUCAGCUGCGGAGGGUGGCUCUGGGUGCAGGAGCUGGGAGCUGAUUAACCAAUCACCCAAGGGCGCUGGGACAGCUCCUUCCGAGUCCUCCGGUACUCCGCCUCCAAGCCUCGGCACCCUCACCUGGAUGACACAGCCUCCUGGACCCACUGCAGUUCAUAGCACAGCUGCAGUCUCUGAGAUCCUGUCCCUGGCAUUCAUGCCCUUGAGGGCUCGUCCCAUGCUGAACCUGGGGGAUCCACGUGACAUCUGGGGUUGAGGGAGUUGAGUGCUCCCUCUCCCGUCUUGGUGUUUUGGCUGCCUUGGCUCAGGGGAAAGCUGCUCACUACUUCCUGAGGAGCCCCAGGCCAGCCUAGAGAAGCUUUGUGAAGAGCACUCCAGGCCCCAAGUGACACCACAUGAGCCACCCCCUGAGCAGCCGGUCCUAUGGGCCAGGAGGAGCUCACCGCAAACGCAGCCAGCUGACGUGGACCUGCAGCCUGUAAGACAGAUCUUGGGCUGGAGCACCUGGCCUGCUGCUCUUGGAUUCCUGACCUGCAGAACCUGUGAUGAUAAACCGUGAUCCUUGCUUUAACCACCAAGUUUUGGGGUGAAUGUCAAUGCAGCCAAAAUGAGCAGAAUGCCUUGGGUAACUGCACCCCCAUUCAGUGAGGGGGCCCCAGCCUUCAGUGCCCUAAGAUUCAUCAUCCCUCUGACACCGAGGACCCUAAAGCAGCCCUGCAGCACGUAAGCAUCAGAGAGGUGCAGCCACCACCCCUGCCUCGUUCGGUUGCUCGGAAGUCAGUCUGGAAGGUACCGGCACCAACAAAGGGGAAUGUCGUGGGGUGGCACCCAGAAACCGCCUCAGGUGUGAUCACGGGUACUGAGGUCUUCUAGCACCCUGCUGUGUGUGAUAUUCUUGUCUCUGUCUUGUGUUCUCCACCGGCCAGGGUGAAAGUUGAUUUCCCAGUACCUAAUCCUGUGCUCCAGAUAUUAUUUACACAUCACAACAACUUAGGAGGAGCUACAGUCAGGCCCAGGCACCCCUCGACAUGCCCAGGGUCAGUUAGCAGCUAUUAGUCAGGACUGCCGGAAGCCAAUUAAAACUGUCAUAAGCAAUUAGAAGAGGGUUAUGUUACCUGCUCAUGUGACCAAAACACACAGGGUGAGAGCAGAGCCUCCAGAUUCACCAGCGGCGGACCCUACCCAGAACCCUUCCUCCAUCUCCCAGGUCGGCUGGCUCUGCCCAGCCUCUGCCCUCCAACGGGCUCUCUGGAGUAGUGACAGCUCCAGGAAGGGCUUGGACUGGGGCUGGCCUGGGGCUGCUGUGGUCUUGACCCCAGUCUGGACCUAAACAGGUAUGCAUGUUCUGAUCAACCAGCCCUGGGUCACGGCCCCCAGGGCCCCCAGAGCCACAACCACACUGGAACCCUUCGGUCCCACCCUUGAGCCACAUGGACCGGCACAGUGACAGCAGCAGCUGGACGGUCCUACCGAGCAAAGACAAUGGGGGCAGAGCUGGGCCUGGUGCAGCAGGAGGAAGAGGGGGCCUUUGGGAGGCUGUGAGGUCCUGAGGGCUCCCCUCUCUCAGUGUGACCGAGGCCAUUCGGAAAGAGGCUUCCAACGGUGUUGGGCUCCCGUCUUUGUGCCCCUGUCACUCUGCUGUGUGAGGACAUUGCCUUCAUCAUCUCUGGAGGAGGUAGCAGCAAGCUGCCACGCCGGCCACAGACAGUGGUCCUCUCUGUCACCAACCCUGCUGCAGCCCUGAAGUUGGGCUUCCAGGCUGCAGAACUGUGAGAAACCACGGGAGCUGUUUGUCAUUGCCUCGCCUCAGAUCCUCCACAACAGCAGCAACCUCAGGAAUGGCUUCCACCUAACUUAACGCGGCUUUGCCCAAAGGGAGAGGAGGGAAAGGGGAAGUAAAAAGAAUUAAGGUGUUGGGUACAUGUUCCAACUUCCCACAAUGAAGGGAAUCAUUAUGUACUAUAAACAUGAACUAAUAAAA